Falco peregrinus (peregrine falcon) is the source of this 2071-nucleotide long non-coding RNA. RefSeq lists it as uncharacterized. Lineage: Eukaryota; Metazoa; Chordata; Aves; Falconiformes; Falconidae. The record is from RefSeq and is a predicted model, not a curated record. The transcript has 3 exons.
UUAGCAGAGCAAACUCUCCCCAACACCUCGAUGAGUAAAUCAGGGUAGUGGGGAAGUGCAUGGCACCAGGGAAAACGGAAAGGGAAGCUGCAGCAUGUGAUUUUGCAUCUGACCAGCCACGCUUGGCCAUGAGACUCAAGUGCUUUCAGCUCUGAGGAGACGGAGGGGAGGAUGGAUUGUGCCUGGAGUAAGCCUGGGCCCUGUCAAAGUUCCCCGAGAGACUAAUGAUCUGCAAAAUCUGGGUUCUGGGAUGCCUUGCGGCAGUGAUGUCAGCAAUAGCAUCUCUCAAACUGCCUGAAGAGGAAAGGGAAAAUCAGCACAAGAAAAAUGUAUCUGUGACACAGAGCUGCCUGGGAGGUUUCCUACCAGGGUCCUCCCUGAUGCUGGAGCAGGAAAAGAUGCUGCAUCAGUGAUGUGAUUGAGUUUCCCUUUCAUGGUGUAGGUAUCUGUUUCAGAGCCUCGGCAGAGGAUGCUGCAAUGGGUCCUGUUUGUCCUGCUCGCGCAUUGAGGGAGGGCAGCCAUGCAGGAGCUGCAGAGGCUCAUCCUGCCUCAGGCUGCUCUGUGAUGCAUCAGCAUGUGUGGGACAAGCACGGCUUCAGGCUGCUUUAUUUCCUGACCUCAGUGGAGAAGAGGGAAAGGAAAAGGCGAGUCACAGCUACAUGCUGUGGGAUUCCCUCCUUCUGUUUUGGAAAAGAAAUUGCAGAAGGGAGUCAUAGAGCCAGGGAAAAAGAGUGAGGUGUUUUUUGUGCUUUUGAUUCAAAGCCUGCAGUCUGCCUUGUGUGGUUCUGCUUGGUUCCAGUGGGUGUGAGAUUGGACCAGAGGUUAUUUUCAAAAAAGGGGUGUGAGGGGUGUGCAGAAAAUUCCUUUACAAGAGAAGGUCCUGCAUCACAGGGAAACCUCUCCACCACAUACUGUGAGGAAUGAUGUCCAGCUGGAGAUCCCUAUUGCAGGGAAGCAUGAAGAGGUGACGUGUUCUGUUAGGGAAAGGGAGAGUUUUCAAGUAUUUGUUUUUUAUUUAAAAAAUUACAGAGCUGCUCUCUAUAAAAACCUUUCCAGUUUUAAAUGGAAACAUUUCAAUCCAGCUUAUGCUAGAGGUGAGGGCUCUGACCCUCAGGAGCUUCCAUAUGGGGAUGAGGAUCAGGAGCACAAUCCUUAUAGACAUGGCUAGAUAUAGCUAUAAAAUGGGGCAUAGCAUGUGUUCAAUAUUCUGUAAAAUACACAAGAUAGCAAAGAUUAGGGAAUCCUCUCCUCUCCAGCUCUCUUGUGCCCAAAACCCACUUCAUGAAUGUAGCAAUAAUUGACCAGAGCCCACCAGAGUAAAACCACUCACCCAUUAAUAACCCAGCCCAACAAAACUGAGAUGCUUUGUUAUAGACGAUGAUUUUGCUUUUUCCUACAACACAAAUUGCUCCUAAGAACGAAGAUGGCUUGUACACUUUAAUGCGCAUUGCUCAUUUCUUCAUUAUAUUUCCAGUGUGUGCCCUUGGGUGGAGUCUACUCAUCUGCAACAUCUCUGCUCUCCCCCCAGACCAACCGCUGCGUGCCAGAGGCUGGUGCUCAUCCCAGCUUCCAGUGUGUGCAGCAUCAGUGGAACAUGAAUCAUGGCUGGUGUUUGGGCUCUGUAGACAAAGUUUCAGAUUUCCAGCUCUUCUGUCUGAUUGUGACAGUGCUCUUAUUUACCUUUCUGUUUUCUUCCAAAAAAAAAAAAAAAGGGUUAAGGCAGGAGAAAGAAAAGUUCACCCAGAAAUGAACCAUAAAUGUCCACCUCUCAGUUGUACAUAAAACUUAUUUUGCACUUAUUUCCUAAAAUAACUUCUUUUUUAAGAACUUUUUAAAAGAAAGAAACCCAAACUUAUUGAAACUCAUGGGCAGAGAAUUCAUUUGGUUCACAUUGAUGGUCUCCUUCAGGCUAAUGGCUGAAUUUGGCUUUAGAAAAACUGCGUUACUGUUAGGGGUUUGUCUUGCAUGAACAGUAAAUAGACUUUCAAUGGCCAAGAUUCUUUGUGGUAACUCAUCAUAAAUCAAUGUAAGGAACAAUAUCAAAAAGUAAAAAUGGUAUUUUGCCACUGUG